Molecule: ribosomal RNA, 253 nt
Filed under: uncultured bacterium
Lineage: Bacteria
Description: partial 16S ribosomal RNA
Rfam family: Bacterial small subunit ribosomal RNA
Source: RNAcentral
UACGUAGGUGGCAAGCGUUGUCCGGAUUUAUUGGGUUUAAAGGGUGCGUAGGCGGCCCCGUAAGUCAGUGGUGAAAUAUCUCAGCUUAACUGAGAGGGUGCCAUUGAUACUGCAGGGCUUGAGUACAGAUGAGGUAGGCGGAAUUGACGGUGUAGCGGUGAAAUGCAUAGAUAUCGUCAAGAACACCGAUAGCGAAGGCAGCUUACUAAGCUGUAACUGACGCUGAGGCACGAAAGUGUGGGGAUCAAACAGG